GCAUUGAAAUUUUUUAUGGGGAUCAAUACAAAAACAUUAUAACCAAGAUUAAACAAGUGCUUAGUGAAUGGCGACACCUUCAAAUUGCGGGAACUCCUUCAAAAGCCUCAAGCAUCACUUCAGUUGAGAAAUCUUCUGAAGGAACACAUGUAAUUCCUGUUCCCAAUGGUAACAAGCUUGAGGACAUGGUGGAAAUCCGCAGCCAAGCUCCUAAGUCCGAACUUUGUUCGAGUAGCUAUGGUACGUCCGAAAAACGUAGUUGACAAGGAUAUGGAGAAGGUUCAGAGACUUUAUGGAGGUGGGGCUGAAGGAUCUGGUCAAUCCUGAUGAAGCCUUCAAGAUAAAGUCCAGCCUCUUUCGAAAGAUUGAG
Non-coding RNA from Macrostomum lignano, 370 nucleotides. The record is from Rfam. NCBI's taxonomy places the organism in Eukaryota, Metazoa, Platyhelminthes, Macrostomidae.